This 698-nucleotide ribosomal RNA is filed under the name uncultured Gammaproteobacteria bacterium. Its description in RNAcentral is "bacterial SSU rRNA". It matches the Rfam family "Bacterial small subunit ribosomal RNA", at positions 61 to 794 of the family's 1533-position model. The record is from RNAcentral. Lineage: Bacteria; Pseudomonadati; Pseudomonadota; Gammaproteobacteria.
GUCGAACGUGAAAGCACUUCGGUGUGAGUAGAGUGGCGGACGGGUGAGUAACGCGUGGGAAUCUGCCCAGUAGUGGGGGACAACUACCGGAAACGGUAGCUAAUACCGCAUACGCCCUAUGGGGGAAAGGCUUCGGCCGCUAUUGGAUGAGCCCGCGUCAGAUUAGCUAGUUGGUAGGGUAAAGGCCUACCAAGGCAACGAUCUGCAGCUGGUCUGAGAGGACGAACAGCCACACUGGGACUGAGACACGGCCCAGACUCCUACGGGAGGCAGCAGUGGGGAAUAUUGGACAAUGGGCGAAAGCCUGAUCCAGCAAUGCCGCGUGUGUGAAGAAGGCCUGCGGGUUGUAAAGCACUUUCAGUUGGGAAGAUGAUGACGUUACCAACAGAAGAAGCACCGGCUAAAUCCGUGCCAGCAGCCGCGGUAAUACGGAUGGUGCGAGCGUUAAUCGGAAUUACUGGGCGUAAAGCGCGCGUAGGCGGCUAAGUCAGUCAGAAGUGAAAGCCCCGGGCUCAACCUGGGAAUUGCUUUUGAUACUGCUUGGCUAGAGUUUGGUAGAGGAUAGUGGAAUUCCAGGUGUAGCGGUGAAAUGCGUAGAUAUCUGGAGGAACAUCAGUGGCGAAGGUGACUGUCUGGACCAAAACUGACGCUGAGGUGCGAAAGCGUGGGUAGCAAACAGGAUUAGAUACCCUGGUAGA